GUGGGGAAUAUUGGACAAUGGGCGAAAGCCUGAUCCAACCAUGCCGCGUGUGUGAAGAAGGUCUUCGGAUUGUAAAGCACUUUAAGUUGGGAGGAAGGGCAGUAAGUUAAUACCUUGCUGUUUUGACGUUACCAACAGAAUAAGCACCGGCUAACUUCGUGCCAGCAGCCGCGGUAAUACGAAGGGUGCAAGCGUUAAUCGGAAUUACUGGGCGUAAAGCGCGCGUAGGUGGUUCAGCAAGUUGGAGGUGAAAUCCCCGGGCUCAACCUGGGAACUGCCUCCAAAACUGCAUGACUAGAGUACGGUAGAGGGUAGUGGAAUUUCCUGUGUAGCGGUGAAAUGCGUAGAUAUAGGAAGGAACACCAGUGGCGAAGGCGACUACCUGGACUGAUACUGACACUGAGGUGCGAAAGCGUGGGGAGCAAACAGGAUUAGAAACCCCUGUAGUCC
Molecule: ribosomal RNA, 450 nt
Filed under: uncultured bacterium
Lineage: Bacteria
Description: partial 16S ribosomal RNA
Rfam family: Bacterial small subunit ribosomal RNA
Source: RNAcentral